UCUCCGUUGGUGAACCAGCGGAGGGAUCAUUACAGAGUUGCAAAACUCCCAACCCUUUGUGAACGAACCUGACAGUUGCUUCGGCAGAAGGCCCUUCACUGGGCAGCCCGCCGGAGGGUCUCCAAACUCUUGUUUUUUUAGGCAUCUCUGAGUAGCUUAUAAAUAAGUUAAAACUUUCAACAACGGAUCUCUUGGUUCUG
This 200-nucleotide unclassified non-coding RNA is filed under the name root metagenome. Its description in RNAcentral is "partial contains small subunit ribosomal RNA, internal transcribed spacer 1, and 5.8S ribosomal RNA". The record is from RNAcentral.